UGUUUCGGCUAGGGGGCCAUCCCGGCUUACCAACCCGAUGCAAACUGCGAAUACCGGAGAAUGUUAUCACGGGAGACACACGGCGGGUGCUAACGUCCGUCGUGAAGAGGGAAACAACCCAGACCGCCAGCUAAGGUCCCAAAGUCAUGGUUAAGUGGGAAACGAUGUGGGAAGGCCCAGACAGCCAGGAUGUUGGCUUAGAAGCAGCCAUCAUUUAAAGAAAGCGUAAUAGCUCACUGGUCGAGUCGGCCUGCGCGGAAGAUGUAACGGGGCUAAACCAUGCACCGAAGCUGCGGCAGCGACACUGUGUGUUGUUGGGUAGGGGAGCGUUCUGUAAGCCUGUGAAGGUGUGUCGUGAGGCAUGCUGGAGGUAUCAGAAGUGCGAAUGCUGACAUAAGUAACGAUAAAGCGGGUGAAAAGCCCGCUCGCCGGAAGACCAAGGGUUCCUGUCCAACGUUAAUCGGGGCAGGGUGAGUCGACCCCUAAGGCGAGGCCGAAAGGCGUAGUCGAUGGGAAACAGGUUA
This 524-nucleotide ribosomal RNA is filed under the name Salmonella enterica subsp. enterica. RNAcentral's name for it is "partial 23S ribosomal RNA". It matches the Rfam family "Bacterial large subunit ribosomal RNA", at positions 911 to 1432 of the family's 2925-position model. The record is from RNAcentral. Lineage: Bacteria; Pseudomonadati; Pseudomonadota; Gammaproteobacteria; Enterobacterales; Enterobacteriaceae.